GCCUGGUCUCCCCGCUCGGAGCGAGCAGUCUCUGUUGAGACAGCAAGGCUCGAGGACGGCCUGCGGAGUUCUCAGCGGUGAAGGGAGGCCAGAACUUACUCUAAAGAAAACUACAGAGAUGGGAUAGCUUUGUUUGAAAUGUCAAAAAAUUGGUUAAAUGAUAUAUUUAUACAUUGGAAUCUAAUGAAACCAUUAAAAAGAGGAUUCCCAGUUCCUCAAGACAGUGGUGGAUAAAAUGAAGGGACACAUCCUUGCCAUGGGCAGAAUCUUCUGCCUCAGGAGCAUCUGAGAGUGCUACUUCAUGGAAUGAUUUAUUAUGCAACGGCCACAUUCUUCC
Long non-coding RNA from Nycticebus coucang (slow loris), 337 nucleotides. RefSeq lists it as uncharacterized. The transcript is spliced from 3 exons. The record is from RefSeq and is a predicted model, not a curated record. NCBI's taxonomy places the organism in Eukaryota, Metazoa, Chordata, Mammalia, Primates, Lorisidae.